Molecule: unclassified non-coding RNA, 336 nt
Filed under: soil metagenome
Description: partial contains 5.8S ribosomal RNA, internal transcribed spacer 2, and large subunit ribosomal RNA
Rfam family: 5.8S ribosomal RNA (bases 1-120)
Source: RNAcentral
GAUGAAGAAUGCAGCGAAAUGCGAUAAGUAAUGUGAAUUGCAGAAUUCAGUGAAUCAUCGAAUCUUUGAACGCACAUUGCGCCCGCCAGUAUUCUGGCGGGCAUGCCUGUUCGAGCGUCAUUUCAACCAUCAAGCCCCAGGCUUGUGUUGGGGACCUGCGGCUGCCGCAGGCCCUGAAAACCAGUGGCGGGCUCGCUGUCACACCGGGCGUAGUAGAUUUUAUCUCGCUCAGGGCGUGCUGCGGGUUCCGGCCGUUAAAAAGCCUUUUUUACCCAAGGUUGACCUCGGAUCAGGUAGGAAGACCCGCUGAACUUAAGCAUAUCAAUAAGCGGAGGA